This 300-nucleotide unclassified non-coding RNA is filed under the name uncultured Sebacinaceae. RNAcentral describes it as "sequence contains 5.8S rRNA gene, ITS2". The stretch from base 1 to 71 matches the Rfam family "5.8S ribosomal RNA", at positions 84 to 154 of the family's 154-position model. The record is from RNAcentral. Lineage: Eukaryota; Fungi; Basidiomycota; Agaricomycetes; Sebacinales; Sebacinaceae.
GUGAAUCAUCGAAUCUUUGAACGCACCUUGCACCCUUUGGUAUUCCGAAGGGUAUGCUCGUUUGAGUGUCAUUGUACUCUCACACUCUUCCUGUUUUGCGACGGGGGGAGCGGUGGACUUGGAUGCGUGCUGCUUGACCGCGGCUCAUCUGAAAUGCAUUAGUGCACCGUUGGGUUGGGCAUAGUACGGCGUGAUAAGUAUCUUCGCCGGCACCUCGCACGAGGGUGUUCGAUCCUUCCGCGCUGCGCUCCAAACCGUCUCCGCGCGGGGACAAUCGUUUGACAACUUGACCUCAAAUCG